GACGAACGCUGGCGGCGUGCUUAACACAUGCAAGUCGAACGGAAAGGCCUGCUUUCCCUUGUGGAUUGCGGGUACUCGAGUGGCGAACGGGUGAGUAACACGUGAGUGAUCUGCCCCCAACUUGGGUAUAAGCCUGGGAAACUGGGUCUAAUUCCCGAUAGGACUGCAGGGUGGUGCCUGUGGUGGAAAACGAUUUUCUAGUGGUUGGGGAUGAGCUCGCGGCCUAUCAGCUUGUUGGUGGGGUAAUGGCCUACCAAGGCGGCGACGGGUAGCCGGCCUGAGAGGGUGGACGGCCACAUUGGGACUGAGAUACGGCCCAGACUCCUACGGGAGGCAGCAGUGGGGAAUAUUGCACCAUGGGCGGAAGCCUGAUGCAGCGACGCCGCGUGGGGGAUGACGGCCUUCGGGUUGUAAACUCCUUUCGACCGCGAGGAAGCCACCUGGUUGGAAGGGUGGUGACGGUAGUGGUAGAAGAAGCACCGGCUAACUACGUG
Molecule: ribosomal RNA, 494 nt
Filed under: uncultured bacterium
Lineage: Bacteria
Description: partial 16S ribosomal RNA
Rfam family: Bacterial small subunit ribosomal RNA
Source: RNAcentral